Molecule: ribosomal RNA, 305 nt
Filed under: uncultured bacterium
Lineage: Bacteria
Description: bacterial SSU rRNA
Rfam family: Bacterial small subunit ribosomal RNA
Source: RNAcentral
GCCUACGGGGGGCAGCAGUAGGGAAUAUUGGUCAAUGGGCGCGAGCCUGAACCAGCCAAGUCGCGUGAGGGAAGACGGUCCUAUGGAUUGUAAACCUCUUUUGUCGGGGAGCAAAAGACGCCACGCGUGGCGUUCCGAGAGUACCCGAAGAAAAAGCAUCGGCUAACUCCGUGCCAGCAGCCGCGGUAAUACGGAGGAUGCGAGCGUUAUCCGGAUUUAUUGGGUUUAAAGGGUGCGCAGGCGGAAGAUCAAGUCAGCGGUAAAAUUGAGAGGCUCAACCUCUUCGGGCCGUUGAAACUGGUUUU